RNAcentral lists this ribosomal RNA (500 nucleotides) under uncultured bacterium. Its description in RNAcentral is "partial 16S ribosomal RNA". It matches the Rfam family "Bacterial small subunit ribosomal RNA", at positions 30 to 523 of the family's 1533-position model. The record is from RNAcentral.
AUUGAACGCUGGCGGCAUGCCUUACACAUGCAAGUCGAACGGUAACGGGUCCUUCGGGAUGCCGACGAGUGGCGAACGGGUGAGUAAUAUAUCGGAACGUGCCCAGUAGUGGGGGAUAACUGCUCGAAAGAGCAGCUAAUACCGAAUACGACCUGAGGUUGAAAGGGGGGGAUCGCAAGACCCCUCGGUCUUGGAGCGGCCGAUAUCAGAUUAGCUAGUUGGUGGGGUAAAGGCCUACCAAGGCAACGUUCUGUAGUUGGCCUGUGAGGACGACCAGCCACACUGGGACUGAGACACGGCCCAGACUCCUACGGGAGGCAGCAGUGGGGAAUUUUGGACAAUGGGCGCAAGCCUGAUCCAGCAAUGCCGCGUGCAGGAAGAAGGCCUUCGGGUUGUAAACUGCUUUUGUCAGGGAAGAAAUCUUCUGGGCUAAUACCCCGGGAGGAUGACGGUACCUGAAGAAUAAGCACCGGCUAACUACGUGCCAGCCGCCGCAGUAA